GCGGAGGAAAAGAAACCAACAGGGAUUGCCUCAGUAACGGCGAGUGAAGCGGCAAAAGCUCAAAUUUGAAAUCUAGUACCUUCGGUGCUCGAGUUGUAAUUUGAAGAUGGCGACUUUGGGAGUGGCCUUUAUCUAUGUUCCUUGGAACAGGACGUCACAGAGGGUGAGAAUCCCGUCUGAUGAGGUGAUCCACUCCUUUGUAAAGUGCUAUCGAAGAGUCGAGUUGUUUGGGAAUGCAGCUCUAAGUGGGUGGUAAAUUCCAUCUAAAGCUAAAUAUUGGCGAGAGACCGAUAGCGAACAAGUACAGUGAUGGAAAGAUGAAAAGAACUUUGAAAAGAGAGUGAAAAAGUACGUGAAAUUGUUGAAAGGGAAGGGUAUUAGAUCAGACUUGGCGUUGUGUGAUUAUCUUCCCCUUGUGGGUUGUGCACUCGUGCUUCGCUGGGCCAGCAUCGAUUCGUGUGGCAGGAUAAUAGCAUUGGAACGUGGCUGCGCUUCUGUGUAGUGUUAUAGCCUUUGUUGAUACUGCCUAUGUGGAUCGAGGACUGCGUCUUUUUGACUAGGAUGCUGGCGUAAUGAUCUAAUAUCGCCCGUCUUG
RNAcentral lists this ribosomal RNA (595 nucleotides) under Wickerhamomyces sp. RNAcentral's name for it is "partial large subunit ribosomal RNA". It matches the Rfam family "Eukaryotic large subunit ribosomal RNA", at positions 50 to 656 of the family's 3401-position model. The record is from RNAcentral. Lineage: Eukaryota; Fungi; Ascomycota; Saccharomycetes; Phaffomycetales; Wickerhamomycetaceae.